AUUGAACGCUGGCGGCAUGCCUUACACAUGCAAGUCGAACGGCAGCACGGGGGCAACCCUGGUGGCGAGUGGCGAACGGGUGAGUAAUGCUUCGGAACGUGCCUAGUAGCGGGGGAUAACAUAUCGAAAGCUGUGCUAAUACCGCAUACGAUCUACGGAUGAAAGAGGGGGAUCGCAAGACCUCUCACUAUUAGAGCGGCCGAAGCCUGAUUAGCUAGUUGGUGGGGUAAUAGCCCACCAAGGCGACGAUCAGUAGCUGGUUUGAGAGAACGACCAGCCACACUGGGACUGAGACACGGCCCAGACCCCUACGGGAGGCAGCAGUGGGGAAUUUUGGACAAUGGGGGAAACCCUGAUCCAGCCAUGCCGCGUGAGUGAAGAAGGCCUUCGGGUUGUAAAGCUCUUUUGUCCGGAAAGAAAUCGCUUAGGUUAAUACCUUGAGUGGAUGACGGUACCGGAAGAAUAAGCACCGGCUAACUACGUGCCAGCAGCCGCGGUAA
RNAcentral lists this ribosomal RNA (500 nucleotides) under uncultured bacterium. RNAcentral's name for it is "partial 16S ribosomal RNA". It matches the Rfam family "Bacterial small subunit ribosomal RNA", at positions 30 to 523 of the family's 1533-position model. The record is from RNAcentral.